AAGACUAUACUUUCGGGGAUCAUUUCUAUAGUUCUUUACUAGAGAAGUUUCUCUGAACAUGUAGAGCACUGUG
Molecule: small nucleolar RNA, 73 nt
Organism: Papio anubis (olive baboon)
Lineage: Eukaryota; Metazoa; Chordata; Mammalia; Primates; Cercopithecidae
Gene: U3
Rfam family: Small nucleolar RNA U3
About the family: Small nucleolar RNAs (snoRNAs) are involved in the processing and modification of rRNA in the nucleolus. There are two main classes of snoRNAs: the box C/D class, and the box H/ACA class. U3 snoRNA is a member of the box C/D class.
Source: Ensembl